RNAcentral lists this ribosomal RNA (656 nucleotides) under Limosilactobacillus coleohominis. RNAcentral's name for it is "bacterial SSU rRNA". It matches the Rfam family "Bacterial small subunit ribosomal RNA", at positions 371 to 1018 of the family's 1533-position model. Lineage: Bacteria; Bacillati; Bacillota; Bacilli; Lactobacillales; Lactobacillaceae. The record is from RNAcentral.
AUGGGCGCAAGCCUGAUGGAGCAACACCGCGUGAGUGAAGAAGGGUUUCGGCUCGUAAAACUCUGUUGUUGAAGAAGAACGUGCGUGAGAGUAACUGUUCACGCAGUGACGGUAUUCAACCAGAAAGUCACGGCUAACUACGUGCCAGCAGCCGCGGUAAUACGUAGGUGGCAAGCGUUAUCCGGAUUUAUUGGGCGUAAAGCGAGCGCAGGCGGUUUUCUAAGUCUGAUGUGAAAGCCUUCGGCUUAACCGGAGAAGGGCAUCGGAAACUGGAUAACUUGAGUGCAAGAGAGGACAGUGGAACUCCAUGUGUAGCGGUGGAAUGCGUAGAUAUAUGGAAGAACACCAGUGGCGAAGGCGGCUGUCUAGCUUGCAACUGACGCUGAGGCUCGAAAGCAUGGGUAGCGAACAGGAUUAGAUACCCUGGUAGUCCAUGCCGUAAACGAUGAGUGCUAGGUGUUGGAGGGUUUCCGCCCUUCAGUGCCGGAGCUAACGCAUUAAGCACUCCGCCUGGGGAGUACGACCGCAAGGUUGAAACUCAAAGGAAUUGACGGGGGCCCGCACAAGCGGUGGAGCAUGUGGUUUAAUUCGAAGCUACGCGAAGGACCUUACCAGGUCUUGACAUCUUGCGCCAACCUCAGAGAUGAGGCGUUCCC